This 572-nucleotide ribosomal RNA is filed under the name Pangasius bocourti. RNAcentral describes it as "partial 16S ribosomal RNA". It matches the Rfam family "Bacterial large subunit ribosomal RNA", at positions 1816 to 2597 of the family's 2925-position model. Lineage: Eukaryota; Metazoa; Chordata; Actinopteri; Siluriformes; Pangasiidae. The record is from RNAcentral.
CGCCUCCUGCAAAAAUCAAUGUAUAGGAGGUCUUGCCUGCCCAGUGACAAGUUAAACGGCCGCGGUAUUUUGACCGUGCGAAGGUAGCGCAAUCACUUGUCUUUUAAAUGAAGACCUGUAUGAAUGGUGGAACGAGGGCUUAACUGUCUCCCCUUUCAAGUCAAUGAAAUUGAUCUGCCCGUGCAGAAGCGGGCAUAAAAAUACAAGACGAGAAGACCCUUUGGAGCUUAAGAUACAAGAUCAACUAUGUCAAGAACUCUAAAAUUAAGUUAAACUAAAUAGUUAACUGAUCCCUAUCUUCGGUUGGGGCGACCGCGGGAGAAAACAAAGCUCCCACGCGGACUGGGGUUAUAAUCCUAAAACCAAGAAAGACAUCUCUAAGUCGCAGAACAUCUGACCAUAAAGAUCCGGCCUAACCCGCCGACCAACGGACCAAGUUACCCUAGGGAUAACAGCGCAAUCCCCUUUCAGAGUCCAUAUCGACAAGGGGGUUUACGACCUCGAUGUUGGAUCAGGACAUCCUAAUGGUGCAGCCGCUAUUAAGGGUUCGUUUGUUCAACGAUUAAAGUCCU